Molecule: ribosomal RNA, 676 nt
Filed under: bacterium SCSIO13098
Lineage: Bacteria
Description: bacterial SSU rRNA
Rfam family: Bacterial small subunit ribosomal RNA
Source: RNAcentral
UGCAAGUCGAGCGCAGGAACUGACGGAACUCUUCGGAGGGAAGGCAGUGGAAUGAGCGGCGGACGGGUGAGUAACACGUAAGGAACCUGCCUCAAGGAUUGGGAUAACUCCGAGAAAUCGGAGCUAAUACCGGAUAGUUCAACGGACCGCAUGGUCCGCUGAUGAAAGGCGCUUCGGCGUCACCUUGAGAUGGCCUUGCGGUGCAUUAGCUAGUUGGUGGGGUAACGGCCCACCAAGGCGACGAUGCAUAGCCGACCUGAGAGGGUGAUCGGCCACACUGGGACUGAGACACGGCCCAGACUCCUACGGGAGGCAGCAGUAGGGAAUCUUCCACAAUGGACGAAAGUCUGAUGGAGCAACGCCGCGUGAGUGAUGAAGGUUUUCGGAUCGUAAAACUCUGUUGUAAGGGAAGAACACGUACGAGAGGAAAUGCUCGUACCUUGACGGUACCUUACGAGAAAGCCACGGCUAACUACGUGCCAGCAGCCGCGGUAAUACGUAGGUGGCAAGCGUUGUCCGGAAUUAUUGGGCGUAAAGCGCGCGCAGGCGGCCUUUUAAGUCUGAUGUGAAAGCCCCCGGCUCAACCGGGGAGGGCCAUUGGAAACUGGAAGGCUUGAGUACAGAAGAGAAGAGUGGAAUUCCACGUGUAGCGGUGAAAUGCGUAGAGAUGUGGAGG